This 467-nucleotide ribosomal RNA is filed under the name uncultured bacterium. RNAcentral describes it as "bacterial SSU rRNA". It matches the Rfam family "Bacterial small subunit ribosomal RNA", at positions 329 to 793 of the family's 1533-position model. The record is from RNAcentral.
GGCCAGACUCCUACGGGAGGCAGCAGUGAGGAAUAUUGGUCAAUGGGCGCGAGCCUGAACCAGCCAAGUAGCGUGAAGGAUGACUGCCCUACGGGUUGUAAACUUCUUUUAUAAAGGAAUAAAGUGAGGCACGUGUGCCUUUUUGUAUGUACUUUAUGAAUAAGGAUCGGCUAACUCCGUGCCAGCAGCCGCGGUAAUACGGGGGAUGCGAGCGUUAUCCGGAUUUAUUGGGUUUAAAGGGCGCGUAGGCGGCGCUUCAGGUCAGCGGUGAAAUACCGGGGCUCAACCCCGGGGCUGCCGUUGAAACCGGAGCGCUAGAAUUCCGAUGCCGUCGGAGGAAUGUGUGGUGUAGCGGUGAAAUGCAUAGAUAUCACACAGAACACCGAUUGCGAAGGCAGCAUACCGGCGCUCAACUGACGCUCAUGCACGAAAGCGUGGGUAUCGAACAGGAUUAGAUACCCCAGUAC